RNAcentral lists this ribosomal RNA (492 nucleotides) under uncultured bacterium. RNAcentral's name for it is "partial 16S ribosomal RNA". It matches the Rfam family "Bacterial small subunit ribosomal RNA", at positions 29 to 507 of the family's 1533-position model. The record is from RNAcentral.
AGUGAACGCUGGCGGUAGGCCUAACACAUGCAAGUCGAACGGCAGCACAGUAAGAGCUUGCUCUUACGGGUGGCGAGUGGCGGACGGGUGAGGAAUACAUCGGAAUCUACUUUUUCGUGGGGGAUAACGUAGGGAAACUUACGCUAAUACCGCAUACGACCUACGGGUGAAAGCAGGGGAUCUUCGGACCUUGCGCGAUUGAAUGAGCCGAUGUCGGAUUAGCUAGUUGGCGGGGUGAAGGCCCACCAAGGCGACGAUCCGUAGCUGGUCUGAGAGGAUGAUCAGCCACACUGGAACUGAGACACGGUCCAGACUCCUACGGGAGGCAGCAGUGGGGAAUAUUAGACAAUGGGCGCAAGCCUGAUCCAGCCAUACCGCGUGGGUGAAGAAGGCCUUCGGGUUGUAAAGCCCUUUUGUUGGGAAAGAAAAGCAGCAGGUUAAUACCCCGCUGUUCUGACGGUACCCAAAGAAUAAGCACCGGCUAACUUCGUG